This is a long non-coding RNA of Ostrinia furnacalis (Asian corn borer), 1137 nucleotides long. RefSeq lists it as uncharacterized. The record is from RefSeq and is a predicted model, not a curated record. NCBI's taxonomy places the organism in Eukaryota, Metazoa, Arthropoda, Insecta, Lepidoptera, Crambidae. The transcript is spliced from 2 exons.
ACUAUCCCGCGGCUACUAUCUUAAUAACUCACACUUCAACGAACAAGCUGUAGAACUCCUCAAACAUAGCCCGCUGUUACACCCGUGAAGACACAUCUGCCGCCAAAUACUGUGGGCUCCUCAGAAUAAGACUCACUAUCCUGCGGCUACUGCCUUGAUGAAUCACACGUCGACGAACAAGCCGUUGAGCUCCAUAGAAGUAAGCCCGAUGCUACUCCCCUAAUGACACCCACGCUAUUGAACAGGAUGUCAAGCUCCUCAGAAGUAACCCUAUGUAGCCUAUGGCUGCUCGACUCAUUACGCACGUCACCAAACGAGCCCAGAAGUAAGUACGGCUAAUCGCCUAACGACUUACACCGAAGAAACUGAUGUUCUCCUCAGAAGUAAGCCCACCUGGCCUGCGACUAUUCCACUGAUGAUACACGCAUCACUAUACAAGCCAUUGAACUCUUCAGAAGUAAGCCUGCUACUACUCCCCUGAUGACACAAACGCUACGAAACGAGCUGUCGAACUCCUGAGAAGUAAACCUAUCUAUCCCACGGCUACUCCUACUCAUACCGAUUUAGAGAUGGUCAGUCGCAUGCCUGAAUUAUCAGGGUAAAUAAGUACUUAAUACUCAUACGCUAUUAACGAAAUAUUAUCAUCUCCCGUGAACCAACCGUAAGUUAUAGGAAAAUUAGUGACUAAACCUACCAGGCUAUACAAUACAAAUAUUACAUUAUUUUAAAACAGACUGCUAUUGUAUAAUUAGGGAUGUGUUUACAGAGCGUUGGUAAAGAACGAACAUAUUAUGUAUUACAUUGAUUGUUAUCGGAACCAAUUAAUUCUUUUGGUGUUUUAAAAAAACUAAGUUAUUUAUCGUUAUGUUUUUCAUCCACAAAAACAAUACUACUGACUACCUCGUGAAUUUUGUACUCAUCGAGAUAACUUGUGAUGGAAAUAUGAUAAUGCAAAAUCGAUACAAAUAAGACUCAUUGAAUAUGAUGACGGUAAGCGCACACGUACUGACAUCGAAUUCGUAUUUUAAUAACGAUUUAUCGCAUUGUUGUGUCGCACUGUAAAUAGCACCACUGAAUUAUUGUUCAACGUUUACUAGUGUUUGCUACGAAUUUACUAUUAUAUUUCAUAUAAGACAA